This 279-nucleotide unclassified non-coding RNA is filed under the name plant metagenome. Its description in RNAcentral is "partial contains small subunit ribosomal RNA, internal transcribed spacer 1, and 5.8S ribosomal RNA". The record is from RNAcentral.
UCUCCGUUGGUGAACCAGCGGAGGGAUCAUUACAGAGUUUUCACAACUCCCAACCCUUGCGAAACGUACCCAUUCUGUUCUCGUUGCUUCCGGCGGGGGGGACGGGGGGGCCCGAAACGGCCUCCCCGCCCCGCCCGCCGGGGGCGGCGGGCCCUACGAACCUUUAUAUCCUAACCAAAAGAAACAGACUGAGAAAAAAAAAAAAAAAAUGAAAACUUUCAACAACGGAUGUUAUGGCACUGGCAUGGAUGGAGAACGAAGCAGAUCGGAAGAGCACCC